CAGCUGUACCAGCAACUUGGGAACUACAUGCCAAGACAAUGUGAACAAGCAACGCCAUCCCCUUCAAAACUCUGGAGAGGAGGCCAAGCAAAAGGAUGUCCCAGGACUGCUCUGCUGUCGAAGCCCCUGUUAGAGGUGUAGGUAACCUAAGAUAUGGAUUUUGGCAUAAUCAGCAUCCCUGGAGCUCUGCAGAGCACCUGCCAUCUCCAAAGGACCCUUGCCAAGCUUGCAAGGCAGCUCCUCCUAAAAUAUACCCCUUAAACACGCAGUCUUGCAUAAUACUUUUAACACGUAAGAACCGACGGGGCUCAGCUCACCGCCAGAAAUAACUUUUCCUGCAGCACAAACGAGCCCUAACUUCAGGCAAGGACGGCAGAAACAGCUUCAUGCAGCGCCUAUGAUGGAGGGUGCCCGUGGGAGGUGGGCAGCCGGCGGGCAGCGAUGUCCCCGUGCCCCCCACCACGUCCGUCCCUGGGGAGCCACUUUCUGCUGCCCAUUCUGGUGCUUUCCAGUGGCUGUUUCUCAAAGCACGCCCCGAGCAGGGCUGCAGGCCAACGCUGUUAGCCCCUCCUUUCUCCACCAGCUUCCGCACAGAUACUUCUGAUUUCAUCACUCUUCGCUCUGUGAGGCAGGAGGACUGAAAACGCAGUGCAAUAGCCCCAAACAGCUAGCAGAGGUCGCUUAACAUGCGCUGGGAAUCCUUCGGACGCUUUGCAGCAGAGGCAGCUGCCCACCCUGGUUUGCUGCGGAGGGGGAGGAAGGGGAGGCUGAAGCACUGGGAGAUUUUUAAGUGACUUCUCCAAGGUUACAAAAGGCAUCUGUGGUUAAGAAAGGAAGCAAAGAAACAAA
Molecule: long non-coding RNA, 849 nt
Organism: Aquila chrysaetos chrysaetos
Lineage: Eukaryota; Metazoa; Chordata; Aves; Accipitriformes; Accipitridae
Exons: 2
Source: RefSeq, a predicted model, not a curated record